This 1241-nucleotide long non-coding RNA is filed under the name Parus major (Great Tit). RNAcentral's name for it is "lncRNA (ENSPMJG00000001918.1)". Lineage: Eukaryota; Metazoa; Chordata; Aves; Passeriformes; Paridae. The record is from RNAcentral.
UACCACUUUUCUUUUUCCUUUUUUUGUGUAGAGUAUCAGACUAGAACUUAAGGAUAAAACUUUCAAUGACACAUAAAUUAGUCUGCCACCAUGCAUGCAUAUUCUGACAUGUAUAAGACAUGUAUGAUAAGAUGUGAUUAUAUGAACAUACCAACACUUCUUUCCCUCAAUUGUGUCCUUGAAACAAGACAAGAACAUACCUAAACUUUACCUAGACACAAUGACUAUAUCUAAAUAUAUGAGUAAUGAUUUUAGGAUUUCAUUUACAGGGAAAUGCUACAUCAUACUCAAAUAAACAGAGAAUAAAAAUUGGAAAACUAAAGAUUAUUUCUUGGUUAUCUUUGUGGAAUUAUUUUUCAUACUUCAAGAAUAUCCCCACAAACUACACAAUUCCUGGACAAGAAAGGUGAGUCUUACAGUGAAAGCGGAGACUUGUUUUUCCAAACACUGCACUAAAACUUGCUGGUAUUAUUUUUCUAUGCCUAUGUAUGGUGUCCCAUCUAUUCCAUCUCUUCCUGUGAGUCCAAUAUAACAGUUAGUUGGUACUGUAAAAAAAAUGAAACAGGUAUGUCAGGGUGCUGUCUCAUGCUGAUAAACUUCAGCUUGACAAUACUGCAGGUAACAGAAAUAGGUUUUGCAUUCAAAAGUCAGAGGAUGUAUAACUACAAAGCUCUGUGAUAUUUUGCUCCAUUGCAAGUUGUUUUUUUGAAUGAUGCUGCUGUUGUAUUGAACAAUACAGGCUUGGAAUCAUUGCUGGUCUGUUUAUUGUGUGUCUGCAGUAUUAAUUUUCACAUGUUGAAGCUUUUCUCUAUGCAUCUUGUGCUCAUGCAGAAUUUAAGUCUUUUUUUGGUUUUUAGGCAGGUAAGCCUUAUAAAAUAGCCUCAUGCUUAAAUAUGAAGGCCAAAUCCUAGAAUUGUUUUUCACCUAAAAUCAGUAAUGCAAAACCUGUAGUCCUUAUUCAGUGAAAGAAUUGCUUAUUUGAGUCUGAAUCCAGCUCUGUGUUAGUUAUUUUCCUUCAGUGGAUGUACAUCCCCUCCUUUCUCCCUUCCAAAGGAAAUCUGACAGCUUGUUCCAGAAACUGUGAAAUACUGACAGGUUUCAAAACUAAAGUAAGCCUUUCUGACAAAGUCACUCAAAGUGUAGAUGUAUUUCUAUAGCAUUCUCUGAAACUAGCCAGCUCUGUGCCACAAAAACUGCCUGCAUGAAAUAAAAGCUGCAAUGAGACAUUUCCCGAAGUGCUA